Molecule: unclassified non-coding RNA, 258 nt
Filed under: plant metagenome
Description: partial contains small subunit ribosomal RNA, internal transcribed spacer 1, and 5.8S ribosomal RNA
Rfam family: Eukaryotic small subunit ribosomal RNA (bases 1-54)
Source: RNAcentral
GGAAGUAAAGGUCGUAACAAGGUUUCCGUAGGUGAACCUGCGGAAGGAUCAUUACUGAGUGAGGGCCCCUCGGGGUCCAACCUCCCACCCGUGUUUAACGAACCUUGUUGCUUCGGCGGGCCCGCCUCACGGCCGCCGGGGGGCAUUUGCCCCCGGGCCCGCGCCCGCCGAAGCCACCUGUGAACGCUGUCUGAAGUAUGCAGUCUGAGACAAUUAUUAAAUUAAUUAAAACUUUCAACAACGGAUCUCUUGGUUCCG